RNAcentral lists this ribosomal RNA (601 nucleotides) under Streptomyces sp. CRM-Slr-40. Its description in RNAcentral is "bacterial SSU rRNA". It matches the Rfam family "Bacterial small subunit ribosomal RNA", at positions 87 to 702 of the family's 1533-position model. Lineage: Bacteria; Bacillati; Actinomycetota; Actinomycetes; Kitasatosporales; Streptomycetaceae. The record is from RNAcentral.
GGGGAUUAGUGGCGAACGGGUGAGUAACACGUGGGCAAUCUGCCCUUCACUCUGGGACAAGCCCUGGAAACGGGGUCUAAUACCGGAUAACACUGCGGAUCGCAUGGUCUGCGGUUGAAAGCUCCGGCGGUGAAGGAUGAGCCCGCGGCCUAUCAGCUUGUUGGUGGGGUGAUGGCCUACCAAGGCGACGACGGGUAGCCGGCCUGAGAGGGCGACCGGCCACACUGGGACUGAGACACGGCCCAGACUCCUACGGGAGGCAGCAGUGGGGAAUAUUGCACAAUGGGCGAAAGCCUGAUGCAGCGACGCCGCGUGAGGGAUGACGGCCUUCGGGUUGUAAACCUCUUUCAGCAGGGAAGAAGCGAAAGUGACGGUACCUGCAGAAGAAGCCCCGGCUAACUACGUGCCAGCAGCCGCGGUAAUACGUAGGGCGCAAGCGUUGUCCGGAAUUAUUGGGCGUAAAGAGCUCGUAGGCGGCUUGUCGCGUCGGAUGUGAAAGUCCGGGGCUUAACCCCGGGUCUGCAUUCGAUACGGGCAGGCUAGAGUGUGGUAGGGGAGAUCGGAAUUCCUGGUGUAGCGGUGAAAUGCGCAGAUAUCAGGA